GCGGCUAUGGUCUAGUGGCUAUGACGUGAGCUUCCCAAGCUCGAAGUCCGGGUUCAAUUCCCGGUAGCCGCA
Non-coding RNA from Methanocella paludicola SANAE, 72 nucleotides. NCBI's taxonomy places the organism in Archaea, Methanobacteriati, Methanobacteriota, Methanomicrobia, Methanocellales, Methanocellaceae. The record is from Rfam.